This 353-nucleotide ribosomal RNA is filed under the name Trichocomaceae sp. LM590. RNAcentral's name for it is "SSU rRNA". It matches the Rfam family "Eukaryotic small subunit ribosomal RNA", at positions 85 to 441 of the family's 1831-position model. The record is from RNAcentral. Lineage: Eukaryota; Fungi; Ascomycota; Eurotiomycetes; Eurotiales; Trichocomaceae.
AACUGCGAAAUGGCUCAUUAAAUCAGUUAUCGUUUAUUUGAUAGUACCUUACUACAUGGAUACCUGUGGUAAUUCUAGAGCUAAUACAUGCUGAAAACCUCGACUUCGGAAGGGGUGUAUUUAUUAGAUAAAAAACCAAUGCCCUUCGGGCUCCUUGGUGAAUCAUAAUAACUUAACGAAUCGCAUGGCCUUGCGCCGGCGAUGGUUCAUUCAAAUUUCUGCCCUAUCAACUUUCGAUGGUAGGAUAGUGGCCUACCAUGGUGGCAACGGGUAACGGGGAAUUAGGGUUCGAUUCCGGAGAGGGAGCCUGAGAAACGGCUACCACAUCCCCGGAAGGCAGCAGGCGCGCCAAU